CCCAUAACAGGGGGAUAACCCGGAGAAAUCCGGACUAAUACCGCAUAAGACCACGAUAUCGCAUGAUAUAGAGGUCAAAUAUUUAUAGGUUAUGGACGGGCAUGCGUCUGAUUAGCUGGGUUGGCGGGGUAACGGCCCACCAAGGCAUCGAUCAGUAGGGGUUCUGAGAGGAAGGUCCCCCACAUUGGAACUGAGACACGGUCCAAACUCCUACGGGAGGCAGCAGUGAGGAAUAUUGGUCAAUGGGCGAAAGCCUAGAACCAGCCAUGUCGCGUGGAAAAGGAUGAAGGUCCUAUGGAUUGUAAACUUCUUUUGCAGGAGGGUAAAGUGAGCUACGUGUAGUUCAUUGCAAGUACCCUGCGAAUAAGCAUCGGCUAACUCCGUGCCAGCCGCCGC
Molecule: ribosomal RNA, 396 nt
Filed under: uncultured bacterium
Lineage: Bacteria
Description: bacterial SSU rRNA
Rfam family: Bacterial small subunit ribosomal RNA
Source: RNAcentral